GAUGAACGCUGGCGGCGUGCCUAAUACAUGCAAGUCGAGCGAACAGACGAGGAGCUUGCUCCUUUGACGUUAGCGGCGGACGGGUGAGUAACACGUGGAUAACCUACCUAUAAGACUGGGAUAACUUCGGGAAACCGGAGCUAAUACCGGAUAAUAUAUUGAACCGCAUGGUUCAAUAGUGAAAGACGGUUUUGCUGUCACUUAUAGAUGGAUCCGCGCCGCAUUAGCUAGUUGGUAAGGUAACGGCUUACCAAGGCAACGAUGCGUAGCCGACGUGAGAGGGUGAUCGGCCACACUGGAACUGAGACACGGUCCAGACGCCUACGGGAGGCAGCAGUAGGGAAUCUUCCGCAAAGGGCGAAAGCCUGACGGAGCAACGCCGCGUGAGUGAUGAAGGUCUUCGGAUCGUAAAACUCUGUUAUUAGGGAAGAACAAAUGUGUAAGUAACUAUGCACGUCUUGACGGUACCUAAUCAGAAAGCCACGGCUAACUACGUG
This 497-nucleotide ribosomal RNA is filed under the name uncultured bacterium. RNAcentral describes it as "partial 16S ribosomal RNA". It matches the Rfam family "Bacterial small subunit ribosomal RNA", at positions 28 to 507 of the family's 1533-position model. The record is from RNAcentral.